Molecule: ribosomal RNA, 360 nt
Filed under: Triticum aestivum (bread wheat)
Lineage: Eukaryota; Viridiplantae; Streptophyta; Magnoliopsida; Poales; Poaceae
Description: partial small subunit ribosomal RNA
Source: RNAcentral
GGAGUUGGUGGAUGUUUCUCUAUGGAUGAUCGUGGUGUUGUUUUCUUUGAGAAUCGCUUGGUGGUUCCCAAGAAUCAACAUCUGCGACAAUUGAUUCUUAAGGAGGCGCAUGAAUCCCCUCUCACGAUUCAUCCCGGUAGUACUAAGAUGUAUCAGGACCUACGCGAGAGGUUCUUCUGGACUAGGAUGAAGAGAGAAAUCGCUGAGUUCAUUGCUAAAUGCGACAUAUGUCGUCGCGUUAAGGCAGAGCAUCAAAGACCUGCUGGCACCCUUCAGCCUUUAGCUAUUCCUGAAUGGAAAUGGGAUAAAGUUGGUAUGGACUUCAUUACCGGUUUUCCCAGGACCAAGAGAGGGAAUAAC